This 855-nucleotide ribosomal RNA is filed under the name uncultured archaeon. RNAcentral's name for it is "SSU rRNA". It matches the Rfam family "Archaeal small subunit ribosomal RNA", at positions 474 to 1337 of the family's 1478-position model. The record is from RNAcentral.
UACCAGCUCUCCGAGUUGUGGGGACGAUUAUUGGGUCUAAAGCAUCCGUAGCCGGCUGGGCAAGUCCUCUGUUAAACCCAGCGACAAAUCGUUGGCUUGCGGGGGAUACUGCUUGGCUAGGGGGCGGGAGAGGCCGUCGGUAUUCUCGGGGUAGGGGUGAAAUCCUAUAAUCCCGGGAGGACCACCAGUGGCGAAGGCUGUCGGCUAGAACGCGCCCGACGGUGAGGGAUGAAAGCUGGGGGAGCGAACCGGAUUAGAUACCCGGGUAGUCCCAGCUGUAAACGAUGCAGGCUAGGUGUUAGGGCGGCUACGGGCCGCUCUAGUGCCGCAGGGAAGCUGUUAAGCCUGCCACCUGGGGAGUACGGCCGCAAGGCUGAAACUUAAAGGAAUUGGCGGGGGAGCACCACAAGGGGUGAAGCUUGCGGUUUAAUUGGAGUCAACGCCGGAAAUCUCACCGGGGGCGACAGCAGAGUGAAGGCCAGAUUGAAGGUCUUGCCAGACGAGCUGAGAGGAGGUGCAUGGCCGUCGCCAGUUCGUGCCGUGAGGUGUCCUGUUAAGUCAGGCAACGAGCGAGACCCGCAUCCCCCGUUGCCACCAGCCUUGAGCUGAGCACACUGGGGAGACCGCCGUCGAGAAGACGGAGGAAGGAGCGGGCCGCGGCAGGUCAGUAUGCCCCGAAUCUCCCGGGCCACACGCGAGCUGCAAUGGCAGGUACAAUGGGUUCCGACCUCGAAAGGGGAAGGCAAUCUCUAAAGCCUGCCGUAGUUGGGAUCGAGGGUUGAAACUCACCCUCGUGAACAUGGAAUCCCUAGUAAUCGCGUGUCACUAGCACGCGGUGAAUACGUCCCUGCUCCU